Molecule: ribosomal RNA, 497 nt
Filed under: uncultured bacterium
Lineage: Bacteria
Description: partial 16S ribosomal RNA
Rfam family: Bacterial small subunit ribosomal RNA
Source: RNAcentral
GAUGAACGCUGGCGGCGUGCCUAAUACAUGCAAGUCGAGCGAACAGAUAAGGAGCUUGCUCCUUUGACGUUAGCGGCGGACGGGUGAGUAACACGUGGGUAACCUAUCUAUAAGACUGGAAUAACUCCGGGAAACCGGGGCUAAUGCCGGAUAACAUGUUGAACCGCAUGGUUCUACAGUGAAAGGCGGCUUUGCUGUCACUUAUAGAUGGACCCGCGCCGUAUUAGCUAGUUGGUGCGGUAACGGCUCACCAAGGCAACGAUACGUAGCCGACCUGAGAGGGUGAUCGGCCACACUGGAACUGAGACACGGUCCAGACUCCUACGGGAGGCAGCAGUAGGGAAUCUUCCGCAAUGGGCGAAAGCCUGACGGAGCAACGCCGCGUGAGUGAUGAAGGUCUUCGGAUCGUAAAACUCUGUUAUUAGGGAAGAACAAAUGCGUAAGUAACUGUGCGCGUCUUGACGGUACCUAAUCAGAAAGCCACGGCUAACUACGUG